Molecule: ribosomal RNA, 377 nt
Filed under: Haploptychius sp. 1 TS-2020
Lineage: Eukaryota; Metazoa; Mollusca; Gastropoda; Stylommatophora; Streptaxidae
Description: partial large subunit ribosomal RNA
Rfam family: Bacterial large subunit ribosomal RNA
Source: RNAcentral
AGCUAAAUGUUUUAAUAUUUGGUAUUUUCUGCCCGCUGAAUUUUGAAUGGCCGCAGUACAUUGACUGUGCUAAGGUAGCAUAAUCAAUUGGCUUUUAAAUGAAGUCUUGUAUGAAUGGAAUAAUGGGGGGAAUCUGUCUCCUAAUAAUUAUAUUUAAAUUAUUAAUAAGGUGAAAAUACCUUAAUAUAAAUAAAAGACGAGAAGACCCUUAGAGUUUUUUUGUUGGGGUGACAAAUAAGCAAACCUUAUUUAAUGAGAGUUUAAACUACCUUAGGGAUAACAGCAUAAUUUUUUAAUAAGUUUAUGACCUCGAUGUUGGACUAGGGAAAUUAUAAUUAGAAAUUAAAUUUUAAUGUUCUGUUCGAACAUUUUCCCCU